AACGAACGCUGGCGGCAUGCCUAACACAUGCAAGUCGAACGAGACCUUCGGGUCUAGUGGCGCACGGGUGCGUAACGCGUGGGAACCUGCCCUUAGGUUCGGAAUAACUCCCCGAAAGGGGUGCUAAUACCGGAUAAUGUCUUCGGACCAAAGAUUUAUCGCCUUUGGAUGGGCCCGCGUUGGAUUAGCUAGUUGGUAGGGUAAAAGCCUACCAAGGCGACGAUCCAUAGCUGGUCUGAGAGGAUGAUCAGCCACACUGGGACUGAGACACGGCCCAGACUCCUACGGGAUGCAGCAGUGGGUAAUAUUGGACAAUGGGCGAAAUCCUGAUCCAGCAAUGCCUCGUGAGUGAUGAAGGCCUUAGGGUUGUAAAGCUCUUUUACCCGGGAUGAUAAUGACAGUACCGGGAGAAUAAGCUCCGGCUAACUCCGUG
RNAcentral lists this ribosomal RNA (433 nucleotides) under uncultured bacterium. RNAcentral describes it as "partial 16S ribosomal RNA". It matches the Rfam family "Bacterial small subunit ribosomal RNA", at positions 29 to 507 of the family's 1533-position model. The record is from RNAcentral.